UACGAAGGGGGCUAGCGUUGUCCGGAUUUAUUGGGCGUAAAGAGCUCGUAGGCGGUUGGGUAAGUCGGGUGUGAAAACUCCAGGCUCAACUUGGAGAUGCCACCCGAUACUGCUCUGACUUGAGUUCGGUAGGGGAGUGGGGAAUUCCUGGUGUAGCGGUGAAAUGCGCAGAUAUCAGGAGGAACACCGGUGGCGAAGGCGCCACUCUGGGCCGAAACUGACGCUGAGGAGCGAAAGCGUGGGUAGCAAACAGG
This 254-nucleotide ribosomal RNA is filed under the name uncultured bacterium. RNAcentral's name for it is "partial 16S ribosomal RNA". It matches the Rfam family "Bacterial small subunit ribosomal RNA", at positions 524 to 776 of the family's 1533-position model. The record is from RNAcentral.